Molecule: ribosomal RNA, 440 nt
Filed under: uncultured bacterium
Lineage: Bacteria
Description: partial 16S ribosomal RNA
Rfam family: Bacterial small subunit ribosomal RNA
Source: RNAcentral
CCUACGGGAGGCAGCAGUGGGGGAUAUUGCACAAUGGGGGGAACCCUGAUGCAGCGACGCCGCGUGGGUGAAGAAGCGCCUCGGCGCGUAAAGCCCUGUCAGCAGGGAAGAAAAUGACGGUAGCUGAAGAAGAAGCCCCGGCUAACUACGUGCCAGCAGCCGCGGUAAUACGUAGGGGGCAAGCGUGAUCCGGAUGUACGGGGUGUAAAGGGGGCGCAGACGGCGGUGCAAGCCAGGAGUGAAAGCCCGGGGCCCAACCCCGGGACUGCUCUUGGAACUGCGUGGCUGGGGUGCAGGAGGGGCAGGCGGAAUUCCUGGUGUAGCGGUGGAAUGCGUAGAUAUCAGGAGGAACACCAGUGGCGAAGGCGGACUGCUGGACUGCAACUGACGUUGAGGCCCGAAAGCGUGGGGAGCAAACAGGAUUAGAUACCCUAGUAGUC